Pongo abelii (Sumatran orangutan) is the source of this 80-nucleotide microRNA precursor. Ensembl annotates it as microRNA 939. Its record names the gene MIR939. The record is from Ensembl. NCBI's taxonomy places the organism in Eukaryota, Metazoa, Chordata, Mammalia, Primates, Hominidae.
UGUGGCAGGGUCUGGGGAGCUGAGGCUCUGGGAGUGGCCGGAGCUGACUCUGGGCCUCUGCUCCCCAGUGUCUGACCGCG